Molecule: ribosomal RNA, 416 nt
Filed under: uncultured beta proteobacterium
Lineage: Bacteria; Pseudomonadati; Pseudomonadota; Betaproteobacteria
Description: bacterial SSU rRNA
Rfam family: Bacterial small subunit ribosomal RNA
Source: RNAcentral
GAGUUUGAUCGUGGCUCAGAUUGAACGCUGGCGGCAUGCUUUACACAUGCAAGUCGAGCGGCAGCGCGGGGGCAACCCUGGCGGCGAGCGGCGAACGGGUGAGGAAUACAUCGGAACGUACCCCGGAGUGGGGGAUAACCCAGCGAAAGUUGGGCUAAUACCGCAUAUGCUCUGAGGAGGAAAGUGGGGGGACCUGAGGGUAACUUCGGGCCUCACGCUCUGGGAGCGGCCGAUGUCCGAUUAGCUUGUUGGUGGGGUAAUGGCCUACCAAGGCGACGAUCGGUAGCUGGUCUGAGAGGAUGAUCAGCCACACUGGGACUGAGACACGGCCCAGACUCCUACGGGAGGCAGCAGUGGGGAAUUUUGGACAAUGGGGGCAACCCUGAUCCAGCCAUGCCGCGUGCGGGAAGAAGGCC